GCUACUUUAGUAUAAGUUUUAGUACGAGAGAUUUUCAAUCUCGAAGUGAAAGUGGUA
RNAcentral lists this transfer RNA (57 nucleotides) under Panagrellus redivivus. RNAcentral's name for it is "tRNA-Glu". Lineage: Eukaryota; Metazoa; Nematoda; Chromadorea; Rhabditida; Panagrolaimidae. The record is from RNAcentral.